UGAAGUUUUGAUUGGAGUGAGGUUUGAAGGUGGCAAUUUCAAGGAAUUUGAAGGAAUAGAGAAAAGAGUUGCAAGAUCUAUUGAAACUCUGAUUACACAAAAGCUUUCAACAUUUUCUCCUUCACUUAAGAAAUUACUCCUUCGAGCUGUUGAGAGGAUCAAUGCUCCAGGUCUGUUCUUCAUCUAUUGGCUUUAUUUCAAUCCUAGUGGAGAGAACAUCUACAUUCCACUCGAGACUCAGAUAAACCAACUGUUGAAAAAGAAUGUAGCUAAUCUAAGACAUGGGAAAGCCAUAUUGUUUUCAAAAUCAA
Molecule: long non-coding RNA, 311 nt
Organism: Carcharodon carcharias (great white shark)
Lineage: Eukaryota; Metazoa; Chordata; Chondrichthyes; Lamniformes; Lamnidae
Exons: 3
Source: RefSeq, a predicted model, not a curated record